This 74-nucleotide transfer RNA is filed under the name Palmaria palmata (dulse). Its description in RNAcentral is "tRNA-Sec". It matches the Rfam family "tRNA". From Rfam's summary of the family: Transfer RNA (tRNA) molecules are approximately 80 nucleotides in length. Their secondary structure includes four short double-helical elements and three loops (D, anti-codon, and T loops). RNAcentral also lists the same sequence under 1 other name. Lineage: Eukaryota; Rhodophyta; Florideophyceae; Palmariales; Palmariaceae. The record is from RNAcentral.
AGGAGAAUAGCUCAAUAGGUUAGAGUUCUGAUUUUCAAAAUCAAAGGUUGAAGGUUCGAUUCCUUCUUCUCCUG